AAUCAACGCUGGCGGCGCGCUUAACACAUGCAAGUCGAACGAGAAAGGGAGCAAUCCUGAGUAAAGUGGCGCACGGGUGAGUAACACGUGGGUAAUCUACCCUCUGGUGGGGAAUAACUCUGGGAAACCGGAGCUAAUACCGCAUAAGACCGGGAGGUGAAAGGGCGAAAGUUCGCCGGAGGAGGAGCCCGCGGCUGAUUAGCUAGUUGGUAGGGUAAGAGCCUACCAAGGCUGAGAUCGGAGCCGGCCUGAGAGGGCACACGGCCACACUGGCACUGAAACACGGGCCAGACUCCUACGGGAGGCAGCAGUGGGAAUCUUGCACAAUGGAGGAAACUCUGAUGCAGCGACGCCGCGUGAGUGAUGAAGCCCUUCGGGUGUAAAGCUCUUUCGACCCGGAAGAUAAUGACGGUACGGGAGAAGAAGCUGCGGCUAACUACGUGCCAGCA
RNAcentral lists this ribosomal RNA (449 nucleotides) under uncultured bacterium. Its description in RNAcentral is "bacterial SSU rRNA". It matches the Rfam family "Bacterial small subunit ribosomal RNA", at positions 29 to 513 of the family's 1533-position model. The record is from RNAcentral.